This 390-nucleotide long non-coding RNA is filed under the name Gallus gallus (chicken). Lineage: Eukaryota; Metazoa; Chordata; Aves; Galliformes; Phasianidae. The record is from RNAcentral.
GGCGGGCCUGCUGCCGCAGCAGGGCUUGGAAGCUACUGGCCAUAGAGCCCAAUCAUUGUUUCCAAGAUUAAAACCCUCUCCGCUAAAAUCUUCAAAGCCUCGCGGAGCUGAUGUAAACCCUCCCCCCAUGUGCCCUUGUCGCCCGGCUCGCCCUUGGGGCCCGGCUCGCCCUGUGCCCCAUCCUGCCCACGGCUGCCUGGCUCUCCCUUGGGGCCCCUGUCACCUUUGUCUCCCCGGGGACCGGCAGCUCCAGGUGCCCCAGUUCUCCCAUCAGGCCCCGGGGGGCCGGGCAGCCCCAUGGGUCCUGGGGGGCCGGGGGGUCCCAUCGGCCCCAUGGGCCCAGGGGGGCCAGCGGGCCCCACGAUGCCCCCGGCUGCUUCGGUGAAGGUG